CGUUUUUUCAUUAAUGCAAAUGUACUUAUUACUUUAUUAAAAUUUAUUGUUUGAGCUAUGUUGCUUUCUAUGCCUAAUAUUACCAAAUUUGAUAGCCGGUCUUCAGUCGUAGUUGAGUGAAGAUCUGUCUUGAGAAGUUUAAGCCUGCCAAACAUUUUUUGCCGGACACAUUUUCUUCAAAAACAUAAUCAUUAUUAUUAAAACCUGGUUGACAAGGCCCUAUUUCAACAAGUGUUCUGAUUAUUUGAGGUGUUAAUACAGUAUUAAUAAAUAAAUAUGGAUCUGAUGGAUAAUUAUGGCAUCUAUCAAUUAAUUUCGAGUAUGAAACAUAAUCUUGGGCAAGUUCAAUUUGUUUGUCUGUACCAAGAGUUGGUAAAGUAGGUGGAUUAUCUUCCUCUUCACUACAAUUAUAUAAUAAUGAUCGUUCUUGAGUGAUGUUUGAUUUUAAGAAUGACAGUAUACUUCGAUUGCCUUUAACUGUUUUUUUUCUUUAACUAAUCGCCUUGCUCCACCAGAUAAUAAUACCACUAAUAAUACGAUAAGAAAAUCUUUUAAUAGCAAAGGUAUAUAUUAGGUAUACAAAUAUAUUAUACUAGCUGAAUUACCCGGCGUUGCCCGGAAACAAAUUCGUGACAAAUUAGAUAACGCCAUGUAUUACCNU
Cinara cedri is the source of this 661-nucleotide non-coding RNA. Lineage: Eukaryota; Metazoa; Arthropoda; Insecta; Hemiptera; Aphididae. The record is from the annotation of a GenBank genome assembly.